AUUGAACGCUAGCGGCAUGCUUAACACAUGCAAGUCGAACGAGUGGCGGACGGGUGAGUAAUAUAUGGGAAACUGCCCGAUGGAGGGGGAUAACUACUGGAAACGGUGGCUAAUACCGCAUACCAUCAGAUCUGCCCAGAUGGGAUUAGCUAGUUGGUGGGGUAACGGCUCACCAAGGCAACGAUCCCUAGCGGGUUUGAGAGGAGGACCAGCCACACUGGAACGGAGACACGGCCCAGACUCCUACGGGAGGCAGCAGUGGGGAAUUUUGCACAAUGGGGGCAAGCCUGAUGCAGCCAUGCCGCGUGUAUGAAGAAGGCCUUCGGGUUGUAAAGUACUUUCAGCGGGGAGGCGUUACCCGCAGAAGAAGCACCGGCUAACUACGUGCCAGCAGCCGCGGUAAUUC
RNAcentral lists this ribosomal RNA (406 nucleotides) under uncultured bacterium. RNAcentral describes it as "partial 16S ribosomal RNA". It matches the Rfam family "Bacterial small subunit ribosomal RNA", at positions 30 to 526 of the family's 1533-position model. The record is from RNAcentral.